RNAcentral lists this ribosomal RNA (449 nucleotides) under uncultured bacterium. RNAcentral's name for it is "partial 16S ribosomal RNA". It matches the Rfam family "Bacterial small subunit ribosomal RNA", at positions 29 to 523 of the family's 1533-position model. The record is from RNAcentral.
AACGAACGCUGGCGGCAUGCCUAACACAUGCAAGUCGAACGAAGGCUUCGGCCUUAGUGGCGCACGGGUGCGUAACGCGUGGGAAUCUGCCCCCCGGUUCGGAAUAACAGUUAGAAAUGACUGCUAAUACCGGAUGAUGACUUCGGUCCAAAGAUUUAUCGCCGAGGGAUGAGCCCGCGUAAGAUUAGGUAGUUGGUGGGGUAAAGGCCUACCAAGCCGACGAUCUUUAGCUGGUCUGAGAGGAUGAUCAGCCACACUGGGACGAAGACACCGCCCAGACUCCUACGGGAGGCAGCAGUGGAGAAUAUUGGACAAUGGGCGAAAGCCUGAUCCAGCAAUGCCGCGUAAGUGAUGAAGGCCUUAGGGUUGUAAAGCUCUUUUACCAGGGAUGAUAAUGACAGUACCUGGAGAAUGAGCUCCGGCUAACUCCGUGCCAGCCGCCGCGGUAA